CAAAAGGCUGAUAACAUCGACUGAUUUCUAGUCUGGAUGUAGUCUGCAACGUCGGAGGUGUAUUUUGGAUCCUCUUCUUGUGAAUGCCAUAGUAUCGAUGAUAACAUCAACUGUUUGUGGUCAUGUCUGCAUCGGAGGUGUAUUGGAGUCUUGUGAUUGCCUCGUAGCGGUGCUAACAGCAGUGUUUGUGAGUGGAGCUCUGCUUUGUG
Long non-coding RNA from Sinocyclocheilus grahami, 209 nucleotides. RefSeq lists it as uncharacterized. The record is from RefSeq and is a predicted model, not a curated record. Lineage: Eukaryota; Metazoa; Chordata; Actinopteri; Cypriniformes; Cyprinidae. The transcript is spliced from 4 exons.